Molecule: ribosomal RNA, 271 nt
Filed under: uncultured prokaryote
Description: partial 16S ribosomal RNA
Rfam family: Bacterial small subunit ribosomal RNA
Source: RNAcentral
UACGUAGGUGGCGAGCGUUGUCCGGAUUUACUGGGCGUAAAGGGAGCGUAGGCGGACUUUUAAGUGAGAUGUGAAAUACCCGGGCUCAACUUGGGUGCUGCAUUUCAAACUGGAAGUCUAGAGUGCAGGAGAGGAGAAUGGAAUUCCUAGUGUAGCGGUGAAAUGCGUAGAUAUUAGGAGGAACACCAGUUGCGAAGGCGGCUCUCUGGACUGUAACUGACGCUGAGGCACGAAAGCGUGGGGAGCAAACAGGAUUAGAUACCCCGGUAGU